UUCCACAAGAUAGUUUGGCUGUUACAAAAUGACAGACCAAUCUUCCUAUGCGGCCCCGGCAACGUAGUUCACAUUAUAACUCAGCAUCAUCAUUGAUUGAUAAACAACAAACACCACAUAAUCAUCGGUUGUUUAGUACAAUUAACAACAAAUUAUAUUAUUUUCAUACAUGAAAUUGUGUCAAAGGCCCUGUUCAGGAAACACAUUGUAUCCAAGUCCAGAAGAUUACUCUGGUUCCAGUCAUCAAGUUCUAAAUUUUAAAA
Molecule: long non-coding RNA, 263 nt
Organism: Neltuma alba
Lineage: Eukaryota; Viridiplantae; Streptophyta; Magnoliopsida; Fabales; Fabaceae
Exons: 2
Source: RefSeq, a predicted model, not a curated record